RNAcentral lists this ribosomal RNA (492 nucleotides) under uncultured bacterium. RNAcentral describes it as "partial 16S ribosomal RNA". It matches the Rfam family "Bacterial small subunit ribosomal RNA", at positions 29 to 507 of the family's 1533-position model. The record is from RNAcentral.
AGUGAACGCUGGCGGUAGGCCUAACACAUGCAAGUCGAACGGACGCACAGUAAGAGCUUGCUCUUACGGGUGGCGAGUGGCGGACGGGUGAGGCAUACAUCGGAAUCUACUUUUUCGUGGGGGAUAACGUAGGGAAACUUACGCUAAUACCGCAUACGACCUACGGGUGAAAGCAGGGGAUCUUCGGACCUUGCGCGAUUGAAUGAGACGAUGUCGGAUUAGCUAGUUGGCGGGGUAAAGGCCCACCAAGGCGACGAUCCGUAGCUGGUCUGAGAGGAUGAUCAGCCACACUGGAACUGAGACACGGUCCAGACUCCUACGGGAGGCAGCAGUGGGGAAUAUUCGGCAAUGGGCGCAAGCCUGAUCCAGCCAUACCGCGUGAGUGAAGAAGGCCUUCGGGUUGUAAAGCCCUUUUAUUGGGAAAGAAAAGCAGCAGGUUAAUACCCCGCUGUUCUGACGGUACCCAAAGAAUAAGCACCGGCUAACUUCGUG